AGGGCAUGCGGGGGAUGCCUAAGCACCAGGGGCCGAAGAAGGACGCGGCAAGCGGCGAAACGCUCCGGGGAGCCGCAAGCAGGCAUUGAUCCGGAGGUAUCCGAAUGGGGGAACCCGCUGAGGCAAUACCUCAGCAUCAUAUGCUGAACACAUAGGCAUAUGAGGGGAACCGGGGGAACUGAAACAUCUAAGUACCCCGAGGAGAAGAAAGAAAAAGGGGCCCCCAGCGAAGGAGACUUCGCUGGGGUGUCAUAUCGAUUCUCUGAGUAGCGGCGAGCGAAAGGGGAAGAGCCCAAACCAGGCCGAAAGGUCUGGGGUUGAGGACCGACGUAAAGGUCAGGUAGUAAGAAGCCGAACGGGCAUGGAAAGGCCGACCGAAGAGAGUGAGAGUCUCGUAGGCGCAAUGAGGCCUGGCGAGUCGGGAUCCAGAGUACCACAGGGCAAGAGAGGCCGGUGGGAAGCAGGGAGGACCACCUCCCAAGGCUAAAUACUCCCUGGUGACUGAUAGAGCAGAGUACCGUGAGGGAAAGGUGAAAAGAACCCCGGGAGGGGAGUGAAAGAGAACCUGAAACCGCAUGCUUACAAGCAGCAGGAGCUAAACCACCCAACGCGAGUAUCUCGCGUUGGGGACCCGGAUAGUGACUGCGUACUUUUUGUAGAACGGACCGGCGAGAGACGCAUUGUUGCGAGGUUAAGGAGUGAAGCUCCGGAGCCGAAGGGAAACCGAGUCUUAAGAGGGCGGAAGUAACAAUGCGUAGACCCGAAACCGUGCGAGCUACCCAUGGCCAGGGUGAAGCGGGAGUAAGACCCCGUGGAGGCCCGAACCACGUUGCCAAUGAAAAGGCAUGGGAUGAGCUGUGGGUAGGGGAGAAAUUCCAAGCGAGCACGGAGAUAGCUGGUUCUCCCCGAAAUAGCUUUAGGGCUAGCCUCAACCGGUAAGUUAUGGAGGUAGAGCACUGAAUGGGCUAGGGGCGUAAAAGCUACCGAACCCUAUCAAACUGCGAAUGCCAUAACGGUAAGGUUGGGAGUGAGACUACGGGUGCUAAGAUCCGUGGUCGAGAGGGAAAGAGCCCAGACCACCAGCUAAGGUCCCGAAGAGAUAGCUAAGUGUAAAAGGAGGUAGUGUUACGAAGACAACCAGGAUGUUGGCUUAGAAGCAGCCAUACAUUUAAAGAGUGCGUAAUAGCUCACUGGUCGAGUGACACUGCGCCGAAAAUGAACCGGGGCUAAAGCUAUCCACCGAAGCUGUGGAAGGAGGACUUGGUAGGGGAGCGUACUUAACGGGUAGAAGCCGAGCUGAAAGGCGAGGUGGACUGUUAAGUAGAGAGAAUGCCGGUAUGAGUAGCGAGAGUAAGGAGAGAAACCUUACCGUCGGAAGCCUAAGGUAUCCUGGGGAAGGCUAAACCGCCCAGGGGAAGUCGGGACCUAAGCCGAGGCGAAAGCGUAGGCGAUGGGCAAUCGGUGAAGAGUCCGAUACCACCGAGUCUGGGAAUGAAGCGGGGACGCGGCGACGGAAUCUGAGCGCGCGGUUGGUAGAGCGCGUCCAAGUGGAGGCGUAGCGAAGGGAGUGAAGUACCCCUGAGCGAAGCGCUGAAGCGAAGGGGAGCCGCAAGGCGAAGCAGAGGAAGGAGCCGCCGAGAAAAGCCGCUAAAUAGGACGAGGUGCCCGUACCGGAAACCGACACAGGUAGGCGAGGAGAGAAUCCACAGACGAGCGGGAGAACCCUUGUUAAGGAACUCGGCAAAAAGACUCCGUAACUUAGGGAGAAGGAGUGCCGAAAGGCCGCAGAGAAGAGUCCCAAGCGACUGUUUACCAAAAACACAGGUAUCUGCGAAGUCGGAAGACGAAGUAUAGGUGCUGACGCCUGCCCGGUGCUGGAAGGUUAAGGGGAGGGGUGAGAGCCCCGAACUUAAGCCCCAGUAAACGGCGGCCGUAACUAUAACGGUCCUAAGGUAGCGAAAUUCCUUGUCGGGUAAGUUCCGACCUGCACGAAAGGCGUAACGACUUGGGAGCUGUCUCAACAAGGGGCCCGGUGAAAUUGUAGUAUGAGUGAAGAUGCUCAUUACCCGCGACAGGACAGAAAGACCCCGUGGAGCUUUACUGCAGGCUGUCACUGGACUUCGAUAUAUACUGUACAGGAUAGGUGGGAGACGGAGAGAGUAGUGCGCCAGCAUUACUGGAGUCGGCGGUGGGAUACCACUCUGUAUAUAUUGAGGUUCUAACCUUAAGCCGUAGAGCCGGUUAAGGGACACUGACAGUUGGGCAGUUUGACUGGGGCGGUCGCCUCCUAAAAGGUAACGGAGGCGUCCAAAGGUUACCUCAGCGCGGAUAGGAAUCGCGCGUGGAGUGCAAAGGCAUAAGGUAGCUUAACUGCGAGUCAGACAAGACGAGCAGGUACGAAAGUAGGGCUUAGUGAUCCGGUGGUGUAGAGUGGGAUAGCCAUCGCGCAACGGAUAAAAGCUACCCCGGGGAUAACAGGCUGAUCUCCCCCGAGAGUCCACAUCGACGGGGAGGUUUGGCACCUCGAUGUCGGCUCAUCGCAUCCUGGGGCUGAAGUAGGUUCCAAGGGUUGGGCUGUUCGCCCAUUAAAGCGGUACGCGAGCUGGGUUCAGAACGUCGUGAGACAGUUCGGUCCCUAUCCGUCGCGGGCGUAGGAAAUUUGAGAGGAGCCUUUCCUAGUACGAGAGGACCGGAAAGGACGGACCGAUGGUGCACCAGUUGCGGUGCCAACCGCACAGCUGGGAAGCCAAGUCCGGGAGUGAUAAACGCUGAAAGCAUCUAAGCGUGAAGCACGCCUCAAGAUAAGAUUUCCCAUACCGGAAAGGUAGU
Molecule: ribosomal RNA, 2829 nt
Filed under: Caldanaerobius polysaccharolyticus DSM 13641
Lineage: Bacteria; Bacillati; Bacillota; Clostridia; Thermoanaerobacterales; Thermoanaerobacteraceae
Description: bacterial LSU rRNA
Rfam family: Bacterial large subunit ribosomal RNA
Source: RNAcentral